AUUGAACGCUGGCGGCAUGCCUUACACAUGCAAGUCGAACGGCAGCACGGGAGCAAUCCUGGUGGCGAGUGGCGAACGGGUGAGUAAAGUAUCGGAGCGUGCCCAGUCGUGGGGGAUAACGUAGCGAAAGUUACGCUAAUACCGCAUACGCUCUAUGAAUGAAAGCGGGGGAACGCAAGACCUCGCGCGAUUGGAGCGGCCGAUAUCAGAUUAGGUAGUUGGUGGGGUAAAGGCUCACCAAGCCGACGAUCUGUAGCUGGUCUGAGAGGACGACCAGCCACACUGGGACUGAGACACGGCCCAGACUCCUACGGGAGGCAGCAGUGGGGAAUUUUGGACAAUGGGCGAAAGCCUGAUCCAGCCAUGCCGCGUGCAGGAUGAAGGCCUUCGGGUUGUAAACUGCUUUUGUACGGAACGAAAAGGUUUGGCCUAAUAAGCUGAGCUCAUGACGGUACCGUAAGAAUAAGCACCGGCUAACUACGUGCCAGCCGCCGCCGUAA
This 500-nucleotide ribosomal RNA is filed under the name uncultured bacterium. RNAcentral describes it as "partial 16S ribosomal RNA". It matches the Rfam family "Bacterial small subunit ribosomal RNA", at positions 30 to 523 of the family's 1533-position model. The record is from RNAcentral.